Molecule: long non-coding RNA, 613 nt
Organism: Vigna angularis (adzuki bean)
Lineage: Eukaryota; Viridiplantae; Streptophyta; Magnoliopsida; Fabales; Fabaceae
Exons: 4
Source: RefSeq, a predicted model, not a curated record
UAAUUUUAUCUUUGUGUGAAUCAUGUCCUACUCAUCCCAUUUCUUUUUGAAUCACCACCCUCACAAUGAUCGAGAGUUUCUGUUGAAGGUCCUAUUGUCGUCAAAGGCCCUACCGUCGACAAAGGCUCUACCACCAACGAAGGCCCUUGGACUGUAAGAUUUUCUCACUGAAGGUUCAUUUGUUCGACGAUCAGGAGACACCUAAGUGAUCCUGGCGUCAAGGGCUUCCUGUUUCAUUAUUUGGUUCAGCGUUUAGAACUGGUGUUCUUAGGAUUUCUGGAGGUGUAAGCAAAUCUCUGAAGGUUGUAGCAGCUGUCCGGUUCAGUUAGAGAGAGAGGUGAGUGUUCGCUGGAGCAAGCACUGGAUGACGAGGACCCAAUGGUGUAGUAUAUGACCGUUCGGUUAAAUAAAUAUAGUAUGUAUAGACCGUUUGGUCAUGUAUAUAGUUUUGCAUCUAGGAUAGACUUUUGUAAAGUUUAAAUUUAUAGUUAUUUUAUGGAUAACUGUAAGUUAACUUUAUUUCUAGAAACUGUUCUACAAUAUUAUGAUGUGAUGACUCUUAGACAUAUAGUUUGGACUAUAUUUUUGGGAUGUUAUAAAUAUAUUUUAACCA